GUUAGUACGCCUCUUGUGGCAGUUGUCGGCAGCCCAACAUCAACCAGCUGAUCACUCACUGCAGAUUCUAAUGCAAAGUUAUGGCCUUGAUUGAGUGCUUACUUGACUACUUGUUUACGCGUUGCCUACGACAAUCACUCAUAAUGACGUCUCCCGGUUCAAUUUCAGAAGUACAUACGAACAAAGCCACCUCUUGGUUACAACAUGAGCCAGGCCCAUGCAUGAACGAAGGUAAACGAGACAAGCCGACCUUCUUAUCUCCCGUGUAUCUCCGUAACCGAAACAUACAGUAAGACUUCACGGUGAUUUAUGCGGCCAAUAAAGUUUUACCUCUAA
Molecule: non-coding RNA, 336 nt
Organism: Dermacentor andersoni
Lineage: Eukaryota; Metazoa; Arthropoda; Arachnida; Ixodida; Ixodidae
Source: RefSeq, a predicted model, not a curated record